RNAcentral lists this ribosomal RNA (293 nucleotides) under uncultured bacterium. RNAcentral's name for it is "partial 16S ribosomal RNA". It matches the Rfam family "Archaeal small subunit ribosomal RNA", at positions 455 to 747 of the family's 1478-position model. The record is from RNAcentral.
GUGCCAGCAGCCGCGGUAAUACCGGCAGCCCGAGUGAUGGCCGAUAUUAUUGGGCCUAAAGCGUCCGUAGCUGGCCGAACAAGUCCGUCGGGAAAUCCACGUGCUUAACGCGUGGGCGACCGGCGGAAACUGUUCGGCUUGGGGCCGGAGGACCCGAGGGGUACGUCCGGGGUAGGAGUGAAACCCUGUAAUCCUGGACGGACCACCGAUGGCGAAAGCACUUCGAGAAAACGGAUCCGACAGUGAGGGACGAAAGCCAGGGUCUCCAACCGGAUUAGAAACCCGUGUAGUCC